UGUAAGAGAGUGUAGAUUUUGCACGUAAGUUUUUGGUACUUAAAGUAAACGAAGUUUUCUUACAA
Molecule: transfer RNA, 65 nt
Filed under: Planocera reticulata
Lineage: Eukaryota; Metazoa; Platyhelminthes; Polycladida; Planoceridae
Description: tRNA-glutamine
Source: RNAcentral